Molecule: long non-coding RNA, 1746 nt
Organism: Neofelis nebulosa (Clouded leopard)
Lineage: Eukaryota; Metazoa; Chordata; Mammalia; Carnivora; Felidae
Exons: 3
Source: RefSeq, a predicted model, not a curated record
UGCCAGGACUGACGGGAGGGUCAUGGGAUGGUGACCGUGUGCCGUCAGGGUCAAGGGUCCUAGCCCUGGACAGGUUGUGGCCCAGCAGAGGGCCUCUGGAAAGAUGUCCUACCAUCUCGAUGAAUCCAGGAAGACUUCCUGAAGGAGGUGGGGCAUGGAGAGCCAUCUAGGAUUCCCUUCUUCCCUAUCUAACCCUUGUCCGCGGCUGGCGAGAAGUCAUUUUGAGAGAGAGGAGAGGGACACCCACCAGGUCCCCCCGUUGAGUAUCGGAGCUGCUCAGCCACCUACCGUCAUGACGGCUGACAGGCCCUGGGCUCAGACUGGCCGCCGUGGGCUUACUGAACUCGCUGAUGUGGCUGGCCCCUCUCCCCGAAUCAGAAUCCUCCUUAGCAGAAAGCAGCCUGCACAGAAGCCGGGAGCCCGCGCUAAGCUGCUUCCAGGGAGCUUGGACAUUGGGCAUGCGGGGUUGUGACAGCUUGGGGCCCCGAGGAGGUCCCUUCUUGACCCAGAGCUGCCCCCAGGGCUCCGGCCACAGGUCCCCUUGCCCUGCAGGUAUGUCUGUUGAUCCCAAGCCCUGGUCACAGGGUUGUGGGCUUUCUUGCCCACACGUGCCUACCCCGCCUAGGACCCUCCCCACUGCCUACAGCUCUUUCUCCCCAAAUGGAGAGGGACAGAUUCCUGUGGCUCUAGGACUUGGUGUCUAGGGCCAAACAGACCGCCAGAUACCUGAUAAACAUCAGUGUUUACCUGGCAAGUUUUAUUUCUGGAAAUGCAAGUCACAUUUCCCUCCACGUCCCGGCAUCCCAACCCCCUGCUCCCUAGAGAAACCCUUAGGAUCUCUUGUGUAUCCUCCGGGUAUUUCUACGUAAAUGCAUCCAGUGGUGGGUGUUUGCAUACAUAUAUGCUGUUCGACUCCUUGUGUUUUACCUAAUGGUACACACGGGAGACUUCUGCUUAUGCAAAGCUGCCUCCUCCUUCUUCCUCCUCCCCCUCCUCCUCCUCCCCCUCACGAGGUCCACUCGUGGCUGUAGCAUGCUUUAAUUCGCUUCUCCUUUCACCUAGACCCUUGGGUUGUGCAUAGACACGCGUUUCCCACGUGCUCAACGUGUACCUGUGGACUGAAUUCCCAGCAGUGGGAUCGUCGGCUCAGGGGUCAACCCAUCUGCAUCUGUGAUAAAAAUGCCUAAAUCAUCUUUUAUCAGGGUCGUAUCGUCUUGCAUUCAUAGUGACCUAGGAGAGCGCCUGGUUCCCAGUGCGACAGUCUUACCGAGAGGCUGUGUCGUCGCGCUUUGGAUAUUUGCCUGAUAGAAUGUUCGAAGGCCAGCGUCAGCUGAGCCCAUGUCCCAAUGAGGCCAACUCCACACUGCUGCUGCCUGAAUUCGUGAGGGUCCUGCCUGCCCAUCUCCCUGAUGGAUCAGUUCUGCUGGCGCCGGGGACAGGACACUCCGGGACCAGAGUGCUUGAGGUACGCGUCAGGUAGGAUGGGGGGGAUCAGGACGGCUCUCUGCGCUCGUUUAAGGGAAAGAAGAAAUCAAGGAAGUGAUACAACAGACAUUGUGGCCUUCCUCUGUGUGGCCCGGUGGGGCCACGUCUGCUACUGGGAGGGGCCAGCUUGCUUCCCGAGCCUGCCUGUUCCCCAGGGGGAGGAAGGUGCCACUCCCCCGGACUCUGAAGGACAAAGAUGGACAGCUGGCUCUAAAAAGACGUAGAGGGGCGCCUGGGUGGCUCGGUCGGUUGGGCGUCCGA